GUGCUCGCUUUGGCAGCACAUAUACUAAAACUGGAACAAUACAGAUAAGAUUAGCAUGGUCCCUGUGCAAGGAUGACACGCAAAUUCGUGAAGCGUUCCAUAUUUUU
RNAcentral lists this small nuclear RNA (107 nucleotides) under Urocitellus parryii (Arctic ground squirrel). The record is from RNAcentral. Lineage: Eukaryota; Metazoa; Chordata; Mammalia; Rodentia; Sciuridae.